UACGUAGGGGGCGAGCGUUGUCCGGAAUCAUUGGGCGUAAAGAGCUCGUAGGCGGCUCAGUAAGUCGGCUGUGAAAUCCCGAGGCUCAACCUCGGAACUGCAGUCGAUACUGCUGUGGCUAGAGUCAGGUAGAGGAGAAUGGAAUUCCCGGUGUAGCGGUGGAAUGCGCAGAUAUCGGGAGGAACACCAGUAGCGAAGGCGGUUCUCUGGGCCCGUACUGACGCUGAGGAGCGAAAGCGUGGGUAGCAAACAGGAUUAGAUACCCCCGUAGUCC
This 274-nucleotide ribosomal RNA is filed under the name uncultured bacterium. RNAcentral describes it as "partial 16S ribosomal RNA". It matches the Rfam family "Bacterial small subunit ribosomal RNA", at positions 524 to 796 of the family's 1533-position model. The record is from RNAcentral.